UAAGGGACGCUCCGCUGCCUCUGCCUCUCCAGACGCCCUCUGGCCGCGGCAGCUGAACGAUGGCAGACGAAAGGCUCCCCGAGACCGCGGUUGACAAAUUCUCUUACGAUUAUGAAACCAUUCGCAAUGGGGGCCUGAUCUUUGCGGUUGUGGCCUUUCUGAUUGGACUUGCCAUCAUCCUCAGUCGGCGUUUCCGCUGUGGAGGAAAGAGGAAGCGAAGGCAAGCAGAUGAUGAAGAUGACGCAGUCUGAACUCUGGUAUGUUUGCUGAGGGGCCUCAGAGGUGCCUUUCCUCUGGCAACAGCUUGAAGGGGCUCUAGCCAGCACUCCUCUGACCAGCCGAUGAGGUCCCUGCUGAGCCAAAGGGAUAGGCCCAUCACAGCAGCCAAAUCUUUUGCACUCGACAAAUGAACAGAGCAGCUUUCUGAUUUCGGAGCUGCACCCAGUCUGCCUGGAAUUCUCUUUCUGUAAAACAGAUUGCUUUCUUCUGUGCUUUAUUUAAUAAAAUGUCCAUUAGGGAAGAAUGA
This is an RNA transcript of Podarcis raffonei (Aeolian wall lizard), 526 nucleotides long. It is a transcript of the gene named FXYD domain containing ion transport regulator 2, with no coding region annotated. The transcript has 6 exons. The record is from RefSeq and is a predicted model, not a curated record. Lineage: Eukaryota; Metazoa; Chordata; Lepidosauria; Squamata; Lacertidae.